RNAcentral lists this transfer RNA (87 nucleotides) under Bacteroidota bacterium. RNAcentral describes it as "Bacteroidetes bacterium (marine metagenome) tRNA-Ser". It matches the Rfam family "tRNA". From Rfam's summary of the family: Transfer RNA (tRNA) molecules are approximately 80 nucleotides in length. Their secondary structure includes four short double-helical elements and three loops (D, anti-codon, and T loops). Further hydrogen bonds mediate the characteristic L-shaped molecular structure. tRNAs have two regions of fundamental functional importance: the anti-codon, which is responsible for specific mRNA codon recognition, and the 3' end, to which the tRNAs corresponding amino acid is attached (by aminoacyl-tRNA synthetases). tRNAs cope with the degeneracy of the genetic code in two manners: having more than one tRNA (with a specific anti-codon) for a particular amino acid; and 'wobble' base-pairing, i.e. permitting non-standard base-pairing at the 3rd anti-codon position. The record is from RNAcentral. Lineage: Bacteria; Pseudomonadati; Bacteroidota.
GGAGAGAUGCCGGAGUGGUCGAACGGGCCGGUCUCGAAAACCGGAGUGCCCUUUUGGGUACCGAGGGUUCGAAUCCCUCUCUCUCCG